Juglans regia (Persian walnut) is the source of this 2431-nucleotide RNA transcript. It is a transcript of the gene named protease Do-like 1, chloroplastic, with no coding region annotated. The record is from RefSeq and is a predicted model, not a curated record. The transcript has 9 exons. NCBI's taxonomy places the organism in Eukaryota, Viridiplantae, Streptophyta, Magnoliopsida, Fagales, Juglandaceae.
UGGACGCCUGGGGUAGGUCUCUCUCUGGUAAGGCAGGCUCCAGACUCAAGAGUGGAGAGACUCCAUCCUCUCACUGAGGCUGUCCAUAAAACGACAACGUAGGUGGACAUGGCUGCUUAUUCUUCGCUCCUUUCCUCCUUCCACUCUUCUUCUCCACCCUUUUCCUCUCCACUUUCUCGCUCCCCAUCCAGAAAAUUAGUUUCCUUUCCCUCCGAGUCCUUCUCUUCCACCCCCCCUAUCCUCUCCUUCCUCCACCAACGACGCCGCAAUUACCUUUUCAUCCCAAACAGUAACAAUAGCAGUGGCAGUUACACCGCCACCAAACCUUCAUGCCUCCCCAAGCUCGCACUUUCCAAACUCCUCUUCUCCUCGCCUCUAGAUUCGCUCCUCGUCCUCUGCGCUUCGCUGGCCUUGUCUUUAUCUCUCUUUCUAGCCGAUGUCGAUUCCGCUUCGGCAUUCGUGGUCAGCACGCCUAGAAAAUUGCAGUCCGAUGAGCUCGCUACGGUUCGCCUUUUCCAGGAGAAUACGCCCUCCGUUGUUUACAUCACCAAUCUCGCUGUCAGGCAGGACGCCUUUACGUUGGACGUGUUGGAGGUGCCGCAGGGCUCGGGGUCAGGCUUCGUUUGGGAUAAAAAUGGUCAUAUUGUCACCAAUUAUCAUGUGAUUCGUGGCGCUUCUGAUCUCAAGGUCACUCUCGCUGACCAAACAACUUAUGACGCAAAAGUUGUUGGGUUUGACCAAGAUAAGGAUGUUGCUGUUUUGCGUGUUGAUGCACCUAAAGACAAAUUGAGACCUGUACCUAUUGGGAUCUCUGCAGACCUACUGGUUGGUCAAAAGGUCUAUGCUAUUGGAAACCCUUUUGGACUUGACCAUACUCUUACAACUGGUGUUAUCAGUGGGCUUCGUAGAGAAAUCAGUUCUGCUGCCACUGGCCGACCCAUUCAGGAUGUUAUCCAGACAGAUGCUGCCAUUAAUCCUGGUAAUAGUGGAGGGCCUCUAUUAGAUAGUUCUGGAAACCUUAUUGGGAUAAAUACAGCUAUAUACUCUCCAUCUGGUGCGUCCUCUGGUGUUGGAUUUUCAAUUCCCGUUGACACUGUAGGUGGCAUUGUUGACCAGCUGGUGAGAUUUGGGAAGGUCACAAGACCAAUUUUAGGGAUUAAGUUUGCACCUGAUCAAUCUGUGGAGCAGUUGGGAGUAAGUGGGGUGCUUGUUUUAGAUGCUCCUAUGAAUGGUCCAGCUGGUAAAGCGGGCCUGCAACCAACUAAACGUGAUGCCUAUGGUAGACUCAUUUUGGGUGACAUCAUAACAUCUGUGAAUGGUAAAAAGGUCACCAAUGGCAGUGAUUUGUACAGAAUUCUUGACCAGUCUAAAGUGGGUGAUACGGUGACUGUGGAGGUAUUGCGUGGUGAUCACAAGGAGAAGAUUCCUGUAAUACUUGAACCAAAGCCUGAUGAGUCAUGAUAUACUAGUGGUCUGGCUUGUAUAAUUUUAGGUACAUAUAUAUUGUUUUUGUGCAUUAAUUGUUUCAUGCCAAGGGGUCCUGAUGUACAUAUGUAUUUCAACUGCUGUACGACCUCUAGUAGUAAAGUUUUCAUAUUGCUGAGGGUAAAACUGUGUAACAGUAAUCUCCUUUAGUGCGUAUCAAUGGAAAGCUAAGGGAAAGAGCUAAAAGUGGGUUGUAGUAAGAGGCACACCUAGGUCCUGCUCUGAUUGAAGUAUUGAACUACCCUUGAUUAGGCUUGAUUAUUGCUCCCAAUAUAUCAGUUUCCGUAGGGCAGUAAUUUGGGACCCUGUAGUCAGCGAAGUUGUGAAAUCUUCUCAAAUGAAGAAGGGCCAUUGAUUACAAAAGAAAGAAAUGCAUGAAUAUAUAGACCUGAUCUCCAACUCUUUCCAUAGGACGAGAUGACAGACUACCGAUACAGCACUAAUCUUUUGGCUGGGUUAUAUACCCUAAUUCUCUUUCCAAAGCCUCUUCUCCAGAUCAAGUACAUGCAAGGUAGCUCUGGUGGGCUUUCCGAAAUUGGAAAUCGUUAUGAGCAGAAAGUUGGUGAAUUCAAUCGUCUUGUGAAAUGGUUAGCCCUGAGGUGCACGCACGAAAUAAAAGCAAUCGGAAAGCAGGGUUUGAGGAGCUCGGGGGCAACAAAGAAUCGAAUUUCAGGAUAAUUCUGAAUUUUAGUCAUGUGUCAUGAUAACCCAGUAACUUCAAAUUUGGUGUAAUGUUGCAAAAUUUCUACAAGAGCUUACACCAAAUGAGGAUUUGAAAUUGAAGAUGAGAUCGGGCUGGAGGAACUGAUCAAUGCAGGUGUCCAUUUGUUAUUACCGAUUGGUAUGAAGUUUGAAUAAUGGAUGUAUUAAUGUUGUGUCAAGAUGUUGGCUAACUCUGCAUUGAAAAUUAUCCAAAGUCAGCAUUAUUUGGCGUUUUUUUUCAUAA